This is a long non-coding RNA of Pogona vitticeps (central bearded dragon), 2305 nucleotides long. Lineage: Eukaryota; Metazoa; Chordata; Lepidosauria; Squamata; Agamidae. The record is from Ensembl.
AACCGGACGAAGGGGUUGGCCUUGAUGAGGACUGAGAUCACGACUCGGGGUCUCGGCUGUUCUGCCCGUCUAGUCCAGGGGGAUUUUCAGGGCCUGCUCUGGAUUCGGUUUUCUCCACUUGCUGUUGUCGUUUCUAGCGAAACCUUUGUGGGCGCUUUCUCUCUCGUCCUCCCUUUUCAGGUCGUGGCCCCUGGCGGGAUUCAGUCCAGACCGCCCAGCGCUCCCCGCGCAAGGAGGGAGAAGCAAAAGCGUAUCUCCUGUGCCAGGAGGGAGGGAAGCCGAGCAGCCACGUUCAGCCAGCCUCGGACCGUGGCAAGAAGCCACCGCCAGCCCACCCCUCUGGAGCACCGCGGGAACUCAGCGAGCCCCUUGCGGCACAACCGCCGGGCCCGUGGAAGGCAGCUCCCUCAGCACCGGCUGCGGCCCUACAUUAUCUCCCCACGGCCCCUGUGGUGGCCUAUCCGCUGUCCUCCCUCAUCUACUGUCCUCUGCUCGCAACUACCUCGUCCGCUUCCCCAGCUGGCCUUCCCACUUACGAUGCCCGCAGGUUCCAGGCCCCGGAGCUGAAAACUUGGGCCUCUCGGCCGGAGCCAUCAGAUCGCCGGGGCACCCUGAUGUUUGGUGGCGGCCUGCGGGACCUCAACCGCUCGCUGCGCCGUGCCGUGGACGCGGCCAAAGACAUGAAGGCGACCACCCAACAGAUGAGCCGGUCUUUGGCUUGGGAACUGAGCAAGGCGAAACAUCUGCGGAGAUCCUGCCUCUUCUGAUGGGAGAAGUAGGCCACCCCCCUUUCUUUCUGCGGCGCUCGGCGAGACCCCUGAGAAACAGGGAAUUGAGAUGCCUAACCCCUAUUGCAGAGGAGAACUUGGGAUUCCUCCACGUUCGGGAGGAACAUUUUGGGGUGGCCAAGAAUCUGAAGCAUCGUGGAAGCUUGAAAGAGGGAUCCCGGAGAGAGCAGGUUCAUAAACUGCAUUUGCCUUGCACUUCUGUAAGGAGACGGCCGGGAGUCGCCUCUAAACCUCGGUCCUGCUCUUCCCCGUUCCCUCCUGACUGAUCUGGAACAAGUCACAAGAUUUCCUCUUUCCCGGAAGCUCUUCCGCUCACCUCGUGCCUCUUCUCAAGCACAGAAAGGCAAAAGCGUCUGCAAUUUUAGGACUGAAAUACGUCCUUUCGCUUUCACGGGGCAAAAAUGAGGAAAGGGCAGGAAAUUGUGGCUGCUUUUCGGUUCUUAAAAAAGUGGCCACCAGAAGGGCCUGUAGUCCGGUACGUGUGUCUAACGUUGACCAAGGACCUGCGAAUCUUCAUAACCGCCCUGCGUUUCCCAGCGUUGGGUCCUUCACACUCUGAAGUGGUCGAGUCGUGCCGUCUCUUCCCGGACACGUUUUUUCUCUCCUUACCUCAAUUGUUAUUAUGCCUUAAGUCUUCAGACCCCAGCUUGUCGGAAGAAAGUCGGACCCGAUCCGUCAUGAAACAGCUUCACCUGUUGCACGGAGUUGAUGAGUCAGUCCGGCUUAAUCUGGCCAGCCUAUUUUUAUAAAAGGAAUCUGGAAAACAGGAAGAAGCAACUGGACGUUUCUCCAGGGCUGUGGAAUAACUUCUGCUUUAUCCGUCUCCUCCCGAUAAAGCCGUCUUGGAACCAGCGUUGCCCGACACUGCGUCCUCUCGGAGGAAAGUCGGCUUUCUCUAAUGCUGCUGGUCCAUGGGUGACAACUUCUGUAAAUCCAUGCCUAGGAACUGAAAUGUGCUGGUUGCACGUCAUCGGUAAAACUCCCCACUGGCUGUAAAAGUGCUUGUAUUGACCCUCUAAAACCAGAGAGCAUAUCCGUAGCAGUACCUACCUCACGUCUUGUGUGUGUCUGUGUGCGAGCAGAAAAAGGAAGACUGGAUCGUUGUUUUUUUAAAAGACCCAUUCAUUCUGAACCACAUGUUGUGUCAGUCCAAAGACUUGUACGAAUAUAACUAGUGCCUGGUGGUAGAUUUUUUUAAAAAAAAGCAUUCCGAUGUGGGGUUUUUUAAAGUAAUAAUUCUGAGAGUUUCAUUAAUCUUAUUUAAAUCUGCAGAGAGAUCAAAGCUGUAUAGUCUUUUUGGAGCUGGAGAGAACAAACCUUUUAGACGAGGGCAUCGCCCCACAUCUCCUUGUGAGUGAGAAAGACAAACUAGAUCUUCUAAGAAAGUGCAUACCGCAUGCCAGUUUUGCAGUUGCAUUAAAAAAAUGAAGAUUUUUUUUAAAUACAUCAUUGUCUAAAUCUAAAAGACAAUGAAAGAGGUUUCUGAUACACAAAAUAAAACCCCAGAUGACUAAUCA